RNAcentral lists this long non-coding RNA (2005 nucleotides) under Equus asinus (donkey). RNAcentral describes it as "lncRNA (ENSEASG00005035397.1)". The record is from RNAcentral. Lineage: Eukaryota; Metazoa; Chordata; Mammalia; Perissodactyla; Equidae.
GUCCAUCUGGAAGAAAAAAUAACUGAGAAGUAGGUUAAAAUUUUUUGAGUAGUAAGAGUGAUGAGGGGAGAACUUCUCUCUCAAGUAUUAAAAUGUUUAUCUAAAUGAAGUUAAAGUGUAUUAUUGAUAGGAGAAGCAAGCAAUACCUCAAGGAAACAGACAAUUUUUUCUAACACAGACCAUCUUAUAAGAUUUUAGUAUGUCAGUAAGGAACUAUCUCCCAGCAAUGGAGAAAAGAUAGAGGAAGAUGGGCACGGAUGUUAGCUCAGGGCCAGUCUUCUUCAGCAAAAAGAAGAGGAUUGGCAGCAGAUGUUAGCUCAGGGCUAAUCUUCCUCAAAAAAAAAAAAAAUGAAAUCAUGCUAAAUUUAACCCCCUCACCAUAACCCAAAAUGAAUUUUGGAGUGAAUAAAUGUUAGUUUGUUGCAUGGCCUUGUUUCUCUUUAAGACCAUAAAUAGUUUCAGGAUAAUCGCUCACCCAACUUCUAAUGUCCAGUGGGUCCUACCACCCCAACAUGAAACGUUUAUAUUUUCUCCACAAUUUAUAAGAAUUCGGAGAUGUAUGUACCAAAAACAAAACCUGAACUAUUAGGCUACUUUGAGUGACUUUACUUCCCAGUCCAAUAAAUUUAAUUAAAGUAGCACGUAACAUAAUCCGUCAUAACUAGGAAGGACCUUAUUCCCAGAACUGAGUUUCCCAGAUAAUUGAAACUUAUCAUUUGGAGCAGCUACCUGGUUCCUUGCUCCCACAACCCUCAUCUCUGUAUGUCAGAAGCAACUCAAUUUAACCAGAAAGCUCAGCCUCACCCCAAACUCCAGAAAGAAUUUAGUCCUUAUCCAAGGAAAUUUAAGGUAUGUUCCUUCAAUACUGCUGAGUCAGCGUCAAGAGAUUUUGCUGCAAAUGUGGUACAGGCCUUGUUUCCUGAUCCCAAAAUAAAGAUUCUGUCUUAUUUACCAGAUAUGCUAGUUCUAGUUCUGCCUAAGAUCCUACUUUUAUUUGAUUUUCUUAAAUCAUGUUCACUUGAUGUUCUCAUUACAAAAGUAGAGAAUGCAUAUUAUAGAAUUUUUUUUAAUUACAGAAAAAUCUUUAAAAAAUUUUAUAUCAACCAAAUUUCCAGUACAUAAGGAUAACUAUUAUUAACAAUUUGGAGCAGUACCUUCUAGUCCUUUUUUUCUGAUCAUGGUCACCAAAAGAAAUGCAUCAAGAUUUCACAAAAGUACCUAAUAAGAUAAUUGGGGACUUUAUGGUGUUGGUUUGAAGUGUGUCCAUUUUGCUUUCAAAGCCUGGGCUUGAAUUAUAUGUAAUUUAGAACAAAUACAUAAUACGAAUUCAUUCAAAAAUCCCCUAAAGUCAGUUGAAAGGAAAGGCCUGCGCUGCUAAGUUUUCCAUUAUUAUGGGUUCUUUUCUAAGGAGUUUAUUGGAUCACUAUUUUUUUAAAUGUGUUUACUACCUUAAUCUCAAUUUUUAAAAAAUUUCCUUAAAUUUUUUGCGUACUGAAUACAAUUUAACUCUACUAAACGGGAAUUUAUUACUUGAUUUUUAAAAGAAACUCCACAUAAGUGAGCAAAGUUGACAUUAUUGUGACAUGGGAUAGUUUGUACUGCACUCUCAUGGUUUUCAUAACAUAACAAGGUAGGUGGUCACACACCAAGAAGAAUGUCAUUGUGUCAACUUCUAAAGGAAAAGACAUCAUGAUUUAAGAGAUGUUCAUGCAAAUUUAAUUCCAAUAAAGAAUUCUUCAUAAAACAAACAAUACACGGGACGAGUGAUUGAUUCUAACAUUUUUUUCCUACUUGUUUUCACCUUAAAUUACAAAGUGAAGAUUUGGGGGUGAUAUUAACUCUUAGAGGUAUUGUGAAAAAGUAAUUAGUGUAUCCAAUGAAUUUCAAAUUUUAAAUGAUAAUUUGAAAUGGCUCAUAGUAAGUACACAAUAAAUAUUGGCAUUUAUCAUCAUUUCUUUAUCAUAUGAAUAUUUUACAGUAUUUAUCAUAUGGAUUUUACAGUAAU